GGUCGGUUAGCUCAGUCGGUAGAGCAUCGCAAUUACACUCACUUCUUCUUCUGAAGCAAGAAGUACUGCGAAGGCCAUAGGUUCAAGCCCUAUACUGACCA
Non-coding RNA from Xylariaceae sp. FL1272, 101 nucleotides. The record is from the annotation of a GenBank genome assembly. Lineage: Eukaryota; Fungi; Ascomycota; Sordariomycetes; Xylariales; Xylariaceae.